This 215-nucleotide ribosomal RNA is filed under the name uncultured Methanobrevibacter sp. RNAcentral describes it as "partial 16S ribosomal RNA". It matches the Rfam family "Archaeal small subunit ribosomal RNA", at positions 344 to 559 of the family's 1478-position model. The record is from RNAcentral. Lineage: Archaea; Methanobacteriati; Methanobacteriota; Methanobacteria; Methanobacteriales; Methanobacteriaceae.
AAACCUCCGCAAUGUGAGAAAUCACGACGGGGGGACCCCAAGUGCCAUUCUUAACGGGAUGGCUUUUCUUGAGUGUAAAAAGCUCUUGGAAUAAGAGCUGGGCAAGACCGGUGCCAGCCGCCGCGGUAACACCGGCAGCUCUAGUGGUGACCAUUUUUAUUGGGCCUAAAGCGUUCGUAGCCGGUUUAAUAAGUCUUUGGUGAAAUCCUGUAAUC